RNAcentral lists this small RNA (28 nucleotides) under Bombyx mori (domestic silkworm). RNAcentral's name for it is "ovarian small RNA-16011". Lineage: Eukaryota; Metazoa; Arthropoda; Insecta; Lepidoptera; Bombycidae. The record is from RNAcentral.
GAGUCUGACGAGGCGGAGAGUGCCACGG